CAGCAGCACCAUCAGUUCGUGUGACUCAGGAUAUGCUUCAAGAAAAUGCAAAGGUAUUUUCUCCAUCCCUGAAAAUGAUGCAAUAAGACAACACCCACAAUUUGCAUUUAGUACGAUUUUUGUAAUCAGCAUUUUCCACAGAGAUUUUCACUCCCAAACAAAGACGAUAUGCAGUGCAGGAUGGGAUGAGAGAACAUGAUGACAUGUUACCUGGAACAACAACCUCUUCCAGCACCAAUUCAUUUGACUAAGGAUAUGCUUCAAGAAAAUGCACAUCCAUUUUCUCCAUCCCUGAAAAUGCCAAACAGAACAAACAAAAAAAUGUGUCAACUACGAAUAAGACCAGCAGUAGAGACAAAGUUGUUUGUCCACUCCAGGUGCCACUAUGACCAGCCAUGAGUAAACAGUAAUGAGGCUCUCUGAAUGUAGUCACGGCCCUGAUCAUAUUGUCCAGAAAUUUGUAAUUUGAGAGUCGACUUGGAGGAAAAGUGCAUACAGGCAUCUGAAGUGAAACAUUGCUAUAGUGUGCAAUGUAGAUCAUGCAGCAUGUCACACAAAAACACCCUUCUGUAGAGCUUGUUUUACCUGCUGGGGGGGGUGGAUUUGUGUGCUUGCGCGUGCCUCAAAAGAAUGACUUACAAAGAUACAUAACAGCUACAAGUGUAUGCACUACUUGUAGCACUAUAUAGGAUAAAUCACUAUACAGGAUUUACCCUAUUAUACUUUAUCGACACAAAUUGAUAGGUGAAACAACAAACAGCCACCCACAAAUAGUCUAUAAACAAAGCAUCAGGCUGUCUUUGAGUUCACAUGAACAACAGUUAAAGUUACUCGUCGUCAGGCUACAGAAGAAUACCAUAAUUCCUCCGUUCAAUUGGGCCUACGACAUCGAGAGUCACGCAGACCUAUAACAACCCAGCCACAACACAUAAUUGCGAAUAACAUGCCUUACCAUAACACAGAAUCGGCCACAGAGUCCAACAUUUAUAUUUUUUCUACGAAUCUUUAAGUUAACACAUUGUCAAUAUUUUUUGAGACCCCCCAAAACUUCACAAAUCACGUUUUCAGGGGAGCCCAUGUCUUAUUAAGGGGAGCCGAGCUCCCCCUAGCUCCCCCGUAGUUCGCACCCUGUAUAUACUGUAUGUUUUGUCCACUGAAUACAAUUGCAGAAGUAUGGGGAUUUCGUUUUUUCC
Molecule: long non-coding RNA, 1193 nt
Organism: Sinocyclocheilus grahami
Lineage: Eukaryota; Metazoa; Chordata; Actinopteri; Cypriniformes; Cyprinidae
Source: Ensembl